AACGCUGGCGGCAGGCCUAACACAUGCAAGUCGAACGGCAGCACAGAGGAGCUUGCUCCUUGGGUGGCGAGUGGCGGACGGGUGAGGAAUACAUCGGAAUCUGCCUAUUUGUGGGGGAUAACGUAGGGAAACUUACGCUAAUACCGCAUACGACCUACGGGUGAAAGCCGGGGACCUUCGGGCCUGGCGCAGAUAGAUGAGCCGAUGUCGGAUUAGCUAGUUGGCGGGGUAAAGGCCCACCAAGGCGACGAUCCGUAGCUGGUCUGAGAGGAUGAUCAGCCACACUGGAACUGAGACACGGUCCAGACUCCUACGGGAGGCAGCAGUGGGGAAUAUUGGACAAUGGGCGCAAGCCUGAUCCAGCCAUGCCGCGUGGGUGAAGAAGGCCUUCGGGUUGUAAAGCCCUUUUGUUGGGAAAGAAAAGCAGUCGGUUAAUACCCGAUUGUUCUGACGGUACCCAAAGAAUAAGCACCGGCUAACUUCGUGCCAGCAGCCGCGGUAAUACGAAGGGUGCAAGCGUUACUCGGAAUUACUGGGCGUAAAGCGUGCGUAGGUGGUUUGUUAAGUCUGAUGUGAAAGCCCUGGGCUCAACCUGGGAAUUGCAUUGGAUACUGGCAGGCUAGAGUGCGGUAGAGGGUAGUGGAAUUCCCGGU
This 653-nucleotide ribosomal RNA is filed under the name uncultured Lysobacterales bacterium. RNAcentral describes it as "bacterial SSU rRNA". It matches the Rfam family "Bacterial small subunit ribosomal RNA", at positions 32 to 674 of the family's 1533-position model. Lineage: Bacteria; Pseudomonadati; Pseudomonadota; Gammaproteobacteria; Lysobacterales. The record is from RNAcentral.